Molecule: ribosomal RNA, 480 nt
Filed under: uncultured anaerobic ammonium-oxidizing bacterium
Lineage: Bacteria
Description: bacterial SSU rRNA
Rfam family: Bacterial small subunit ribosomal RNA
Source: RNAcentral
UUUCGCAAUGCCCGAAAGGGUGACGAAGCGACGCCGCGUGGGUGAGGAAGGCCCUCGGGUUGUAAAGCCCUGUCAGGAGUUAAGAAAUGUAAGUGCGCUAAUAUCGCAUUUAUUUGACGAAGGCUCCAAAGGAAGCCACGGCUAACUCUGUGCCAGCAGCCGCGGUAAUACAGAGGUGGCAAGCGUUGUUCGGAAUUAUUGGGCGUAAAGAGCACGUAGGUGGGUUUGUAAGUCAGAUGUGAAAGCCUUCUGUUCAACGGAAGAAUUGCAUCUGAAACUACAAGUCUUGAGUGUAGGAGGGGAGGAUGGAACUUCUGGUGGAGCGGUGAAGUGCGUAGAUAUCAGAAGGAACGCCGGCGGCGAAAGCGAUUCUCUGGCCUAUUACUGACACUCAGUGUGCGAAAGCUAGGGGAGCAAACGGGAUUAGAUACCCCGGUAGUCCUAGCCGUAAACGAUGGGCACUAAGUAGAGGGGUUUUAA